GAUGAACGCUGGCGGCGUGCCUAAUACAUGCAAGUCGAGCGAACAGAUGAGGAGCUUGCUCCUCUGACGUUAGCGGCGGACGGGUGAGUAACACGUGGAUAACCUACCUAUAAGACUGGGAUAACUUCGGGAAACCGGAGCUAAUACCGGAUAAUAUAUUGAACCGCAUGGUUCAAUAGUGAAAGACGGUUUUGCUGUCACUUAUAGAUGGAUCCGCGCCGCAUUAGCUAGUUGGUAAGGUAACGGCUUACCAAGGCAACGAUGCGUAGCCGACCUGAGAGGGUGGUCGGCGACACGAGAACGGGGACACGGUCCUGACUCCUAAGGGAGGCAGCAGUAGGGAAUCUUCCGCAAUAGGCGAGAGCUUGACGGAGCGACGCCGCGUGAGUGAUGAAGGUCUUCGGAUCGUAAAGCUCUGUUAUUAGGUAAGAACAAAUGUGUAAGGAACUAUACACUUCGUGACGGUACCUAAUCAGAAAGCCACGGCUAACUACGUG
RNAcentral lists this ribosomal RNA (497 nucleotides) under uncultured bacterium. Its description in RNAcentral is "partial 16S ribosomal RNA". It matches the Rfam family "Bacterial small subunit ribosomal RNA", at positions 28 to 507 of the family's 1533-position model. The record is from RNAcentral.